Molecule: long non-coding RNA, 8672 nt
Filed under: Zea mays
Lineage: Eukaryota; Viridiplantae; Streptophyta; Magnoliopsida; Poales; Poaceae
Description: long non-coding RNA (ZMAY_LNC005609)
Source: RNAcentral
GUGAGUCAACGGUCGGCCGCGCAAUCCCCGCGUGACACGUGGCCGAGCCAACGGUCAGAUGGGGGCAUAGGACUGUCCGGUGCGCCAAUGGCUCCUAGUCUACAACGGUCGACUGCGCCAAGUUUGGAAGGAGAUCCGCACCAGACCGUGAAUAGUAGAUGUCCGGUGGUGCACCGGACUGUCCGGUGCGCCACCCGACAGAAAGCAAGUAUUGCCUUCCAAAUGGGAUUCCAACGGCUCCUAGGCACCUUAAGCCUAUAAAAGGGACUCCUAGGCGCCUCCAACAAAGGAAUAAGUACAGCCAACAAGUGUAGACAUCACUCUGAUCAAUUCUCACUCUCCCUCUUGUGUGUAUCUCUCUAGUUUGUGUAGAAGGCAAAGCUUUAAGCCUUUAGAGAGUGGAGAAGAGCUGCUAAGAGCUAGAGCAAGGUCUUGAGCAUAUCGUUACUCUGCCGAAGUGCUGCCAAGAAGAUUGUAAGCAGCCGCGGUUUCGUUGUAACCAACUCAACAUAGUGGAAGGCUCUAUCUGUCUGACUGACAGAUCUGAGCAAACGGAGGAAGGAGUUGAAAUAGACUCUAAGCCCAGGUGUGGCUAACUCCAACGAGGACUAGGCAAGCAUUUCAGGUUUGGCCAAACCUCGGGAUAAAUUCCUGUGUCCACGUGCUCUGCUCUGUGUUGUGUGCUGAUUCUGUCUUAUUCAUUUCUUACAUCUGCACUUCACUGCUUACUUGUGGUACUAGCUUUCUUUGAAGUGCAGGAUAAUCUUUGUCACACCCGGUUUUGAAGGUAAACCGAAUGCGAACCAUGUACGUGCCAGGAUCAGAAAUUCACGUACAUAGUGAUUACAUAAAUGACUCAUCAUAGCACAAUGCUUCGAAUAACAAUAAAGAGUAAGUAAUAAUAUUACAGACCAGAGCCAUUUACAUAAUAUAAAUCAAAGUACACAUAGUAGAAACGUAGCCAACGUAAACAACCCAUCACAGGCAGCUGACUAGGGGAGGUCGCUAGCCUAAUCCUCAAACUCGUCGAAGUCCUGGAACUCCUGGAGAUCCGCCUCGACACCUCCUUCUUUACCUGAGCAUAUAUUGCACCAAAGGCAACCUGGUGUUUUGUGAAAGCAAGGGUGAGUACACAUCAACGUACUCAGCAAAUGUCCCGUUUGGUUGUAGUGGACUAGCUUUAUGUGGGGUUAGGCUCAAGCAGUUGCUUUUAGUUGGUCAGGUAUUUAUUGUUAGUAGAAGCCAGAUUUUAUCAUAAAACCCAAGUUAUAAUCCCAAAAGUACCUCCUGAGAGAGGGAAUACUAGAAUUCAUAAUUAAAGUCACCAUCAUUAACCAUCAUCAUUAAAGUCAUCAUCCAAGGUGUAUCCGGAGUAUCUCUAAUCAAAGAGGAUCCCAAGGCUGCUCUUAACCGUGAGCACGGCUGAUAUAUCAGUUUCACUACCCUCUGCAGAGGUCGCACACUUUACCCAUGAGUCAUGAUUCCCUUUCUGCCCGGGGAGAGCUAAUCCCCAUUGAUCACUCCCUAGGUGGUCUGGCAGGGUAUCACUACGUAGCUGUUACAAAGAUUCCCUAGAGGUCAUAGCCGCCCGUUAGGUUUCUCCAGUUUGAUAAACACAGUACCCCUCCCCGCAGGAGAGUGACUAACCAAAAAGCAAAACAAAAGAACCUCGGCACUCAGCCUCGGCAGAGCAAGCACUGUGCCUGGACCCCAUUGACGGCACGACGGCGAAGCAACUACACCUCUAGUUCCUCUAAUUAAUUAGCUAAGGGCAUCCCAUUUCACCCUCAUGGUUGCACUGUUAUCCCGGGUGGUCUCUCAACGAAUAGGUCCUUACGGAGAGGUGCUCGGGAAACGGCCCGAGUCCCCUAAAAUGCCACAAGUAUAUCACCAUCGUAUCCAAAAUAAAAGCAUCGUAUCAUCAAGUAAUUCUCAUCAUGUUCGUUGAUUAGAGUAAAGCGCUAGCAUGUAGUUAACCAUAGUAAUCCGAAAGGUAAACAAGGAUAAGGUAAAUAGAAAGCUAGUAAAUCCUUAGGUUAUUCAUAGUAUGCGGGACAGUGUAUUAUAAAGUACAUGGGACAUAAUGGGACUGAGGACACUUGCCUUCACCAAACAGAUGCUCAGAAUCUUCAGCCUUGUAGAACUCGAAGAGCUGGGUCAUUUGGUCGCCGAAGCUUGACCGUCGAUUCCUCAAAGCUCAGAAACGAAUCGCGAUCUAAUCGCAACACGAAGCGAAGACGAACAGGCACAAGCAAACAAACAUAUACAUAUGCAUAAGAAUAUUACACCAUACAAGAUAAAAUGUUAUAAAAGCGAGCAAUAUAAAAUAGAGAGCGCUUCUACGGUUACGCAAGAAUAUGAAACACGUCGGUCGGAGCUACGGUCGAUAAGUUAUCGCGUUUAUGCUAAACGAAUAUGAACUAGGACAUUUAAUUCGGCACUAUCAAAUAUAAAUUAUAUCUACUAUUUAGUUUUGACUAACUUACUAUUUUAAUAGUGGAGGAUUAAACGAAUAUUUAAUUAAAUGACAUGAGUGAUUAUAAGCGACCGAUUUAAUAUCGCGCGUGGACAGCACCCGAUAUGCAAAAAAGGCAAUGCGUGCGAAUGACGCGUGAAGACGCGUGACAAUACGCGAAAUAGGGCGCGACCAACACGCGAAACCACGCGUGCGACAACGCGUGCGAACGACGGCGCACGCGGACAGCACGCGAACGGCACGCCAGGAACACUAACCAAUAUCGCCAUUAUAAUAAACAAUUAUUAAUUAAAAAACAUUCGAGUAGACAUAAUCAUAUUAACAUGUAUUUAUAAAGUGCAACUAAAAUUGUAAAUUGGUUCAAGUAGAUUGCUACUUUACUAACUAUCUGAAAAAUAAAUAAUCAAUUAAUUAACUAAAACAUGUAUCACAAUGAAAUAGUGUUACUAAUACGUAAACAACGAGGUUACGAAACAAGUCGAAACAGAUUUGAGACUUAAAAAUAUUUUGAAUAUUUUAUAUCUCGCAGAUUUAAUAGAAUGUGGCGUAAUCUAAUUGGUCAAAAUAUGGCCACACGGAGGACCAUAUGAGCAUGGGUGCCGAGGAUCCGUGGGAUUUGGAGCGGACGCUACAACGUGAAACAUCUAUAUUGACCAACCGUAGGGCGCCAUGUGGCCUGGAGACUAGUUUUUUCCACCACCCACGUGAUGCAUGCCGACAUGCAUGGGAGUCAUGCGUGCAUGGGUGGGCGAGCACUCGGCCACCGCUCAAUCGGCCUUUGGCCGCGACCAGCCAUGGCUGGUCGGCCAUGCAUCCAAGGGCUGGGCGUUUCACGGUUCGAUGUCGGCAGCGGAGGUGCGGUUGGCCGGCGAAGGAUAGAAAUGACAACAGCUAGCGCAGAAACAAAAUAAAGAAAAAUGGCUCACCGGAGAACGGGAAGGGCUCGUCGGAAGAAACAACUUCGUGCGUGGCAGGGACCCCUCGACACAGCGACGAGUGCGGCGAGACCUCCAGCUAGGACAUCGGUCCUUUCUCCACGGUGACAAAUGAUGCGACGACGAGCUCUGCAUGGGACCUCUGCUCGACGGCGGGCGCGGCGCCGGGGCGACUGCGUGAUGCAAGGGGUGGUUGCUGCAAGGUUGAGGGACAGAGAGCAGGUGCCGACUGUUUGAAUGGGACUAUGGGAGCGGCUAUAACGGACCAUUGCUAAAUUCUUGCGUCGUGGCCAUAUAGUGCGGUAGAGGUUGUUCACACACGGAAGAGAUGGUGGUGGGCCUGCGGCGCAGCAGCCGAGUGCGGCGCUGGUGCUUCCCCCACGCGUGCUAGCAGGUAGAUAUGAAUAUACAUAUAUGUUUAUAUGAAUAUAUCUAUUUAUAUUAGAUCAUGUCCCGAUAAUUUAAUUUGAUAGUUUUUCCUUCUUUCGAGUGUGAACACCGCCAAGAUCAUUUUAGCAAACAGAAAGAAAAUGUACCUCGGCUUAAAAUAUAAUACACAUAUUUAUUUAAAAUAGCAUCUAUAAAUUCCAUGUUAACUCCCCAUUUAAUAACAAACAAAAGAGGAAAAGAAAGGAAAAGAAAAUGUAACACCUGAAUUUUGAGAGUAGAUAAAAGAAAAUUUUAUACCCUCAAAAUCAGGGUGUUACAAAUCUAACCCCCUUAACAGAAUCUCGCCCUCGAGAUUCAAGAAGAAGCUAGAAAGAAAAACAAGGUUGGUUCACUUCGAUUCAAUUUUAACACUACCAGCUUAACUUGCUGACAUGAUACUUUGACCUUCAGAUAUUCACGAUCAACUGAUGCAACUCUUGAGGAUCUCUUGGACCUAUGGGUUAGGACCCACACACGCUUUCGGUGCGCCACUUUAAUCGUGUUGGUUGAUGCUGUUCGCAUUGUCUUCAUUGGGGUUAGCGGCUAACCCCCUUAACAGGAGCGUUGAUAUGCACUUGGUGAAGAUGUUAUCGAUUUUGAUCUUGACCGAUUAAGAGAGGUUGGUUGGAGGUUGCCAACCGGACAGGUGCAAGAGGGAAGGGUAUAGAUAGGAAAGGUACACAUAGAUGAAUUAAAAAGAGAAAAGGGAGAGCACCCAGAUACCUAACUCUAUGGCACUCAGCUAGUAAACUGAUGUCAUUGCGGACCAAGGACCACAACACAUCAACACUCAUCACAGAGAAGCAAAUCAGUCAUCACACAAAGACAAACAGCACAAGCAUACAACAACAAACAUCUCGUUGCUACACGUUAAUGUUAACUAGAUGGUGGUCUUUCUUGAAAAGGGAAUACCUACUCUCUAAGGCCGUCGAAGGACGAGGAGAGAAACAAGACGUGCAUGAUAGGGGCACGAGCACAACAAAGGAUGGAGUUAAGUGGCCAAGAAAAUGAUACGACCAAGGGCAUAAUGGGUAGAACACCACUCUCGAGUCAAGAUAUAAAAGAGUGGAUUUCAAAAGGCAGACCUAAGAUAAGCAUCAAGGCAAGAUCUAGUGAUUACAAAGGUAAGGGGACUAUCAAACAAAAGCUACGACUGGCAAUGUGGCAGAGGAAAAGGGAACGACCAAGAGUGGGAUGGGUAAGACAACACUCUUGAACUAAAACGAGGGAGGAGGCUUUAAAAUACAGGUACGAGAUAAGCAUCAAGGUAAAGAUCAAGGGAUGACAAGGGUGAGGGUGAUAACGGGCAAAUAAACAAAAAAGGAUGUAUUUUAGACAAAACGUGCAAGGCGUCAAAGGAGGGGAAGCAAUUAAUGGUGAAGUAGAUGAGGCAUUAUCCUUGAGCAGAGAUCGAAAGGAGGAGGUUUUGAAGGGUAGGUUCAAAGUAAGCAUGAAUGUAAGGGUAUAGAUAUUACAAGGGUUAAAGGUGAUAACAGACAAUAAUGUAAGAGAGGAGGUAAAUGGACAUAAGAACAAAAGAUAUAAGUAACAUAAAGGAUGGAGUUAAGACAAUACCUACAAGUGGAAAAGAAGAGGAUACGUCCAAGGGCCAAAUAGGUAAAUUGCCACUCUCAAAUUGAGGUGGAAGAGAGGAGAUUUUUAAUAGUCAGAAUAAAGAUGAGUAUCGACGCAAGAUCGAUGGAUGAAAAGGUGAUGGUGAUAGCAAAUAAAAAACACAGCAAAGGAUGGAAUUAAGACAAAACUUGUAAGGCGACAAGGAGUGAAAAGAAAUCAUGGGAGAGAUAAGUAACUCAUAGCUCUCAAACUAGGUUGAAAGAAAGGGGAGGCUUUUAAAGGAUAAGUUCAAGGUAAGCAUUUAGGUAGAAUACCUCAAUAUCGCAAGGGUCAAAGGCGAUAACAGACAAGGGUAUGAGAGAAAAGAUGAAGGCAUGGGAGAGCCAGUGGUAUGAGUACAACAAAUAAUAGAGUUGCGUCCGAGCUUAUACGCGGUAAAGAAGAGGAUAUAGCCAAGGGUGAGGUAAGGAAAGUACCGCUCUCAAAUUGGGAUAGGAGAUUGGAGAUUUUAGAGAAUGAACAAAGUGUAAUCACCAAGGUAAGAUCUAGAGAUGAGAAAGGUAAAGAUAAUACCCAACCGAAGCACAACAAAGGAUGGAGUUAAAAACCCGCAAGCGACAAGGAAGAGGAUACAACCAAUGGAAAAUGGGUAAAAUACAACUAUAAAAUUGAGAUGGAAGAGAGAACAUUUUAAAGGACAGGUAUAACAUAAGCAUCAAGUAAGAUAUAGAGGUGACAAGGGUAAAGGUGAUAAUGAUGAAAAGCAUAAUCCGUGGACAGAGUUAAGGCAAGAUUCACAAAAUGACUAAGUGGAGAAAACAAUCAAGGAUAAGAUAAGUGAGGUUCCAACAUAAGAGUUGAAGUAAAAAUUCAUUGCCGAAGGAAGUUACAAGGAAACAACGAGAUUAUCACGGUUGUGCAAAAUAAAAUGAUCGCUCAUGGAUCAUUAAGAAAUAGGGGUGGUCAAGGACAUGUUAACUGAAAUGUCUAAGUAGGCAGUAGAAAUUUAGAGGCAAGUAUUUGAAACAAGAGUAUUAAAGGGAUACAAGCAUGUCAAUACCAAAGAACUAGAGUUCGCCAGAUGGUAACAACUUAAUGACGAAAGAGGAAAGAAUCCCAAAAAGACAAGAAGGUUAUGGUCAGGGGGCAUCUACAAAGAUGUUGCAAGCACAAGAGUGAGAUCAGAUCUAAUAGAUUGAGAGAAGUAUAGACCAUACUAGAAUAAAAUACUUUUGGCAAGGGGCAUAUAGGAACACAACAUAGCAUUAGUCGAGGCGACUAAUAUUUUGAAGCGGAAUCAAGGAUGAGGUGAAGUAAUAAUCAAUGAGUCCUUAAAACGGCCAUUGCUACUCUAGGUCAGCGGUCCUACAGUCAGCAAGGCUUUGAUACCACUUAUGUCACACCCGGUUUUGAAGGUAAACCGAAUGCGAACCAUGUACGUGCCAGGAUCAGAAAUUCACGUACAUAGUGAUUACAUAAAUGACUCAUCAUAGCACAAUGCUUCGAAUAACAAUAAAGAGUAAGUAAUAAUAUUACAGACCAGAGCCAUUUACAUAAUAUAAAUCAAAGUACACAUAGUAGAAACGUAGCCAACGUAAACAACCCACCACAGGCAGCUGACUGGGGGAGGUCGCUAGCCUAAUCCUCGAACUCGUCGAAGUCCUGGAACUCCUGGAGAUCUGCCUCGACACCUCCUUCUUUACCUGAGCAUAGAUUGCACCAAAGGCAACCUGGUGUUUUGUGAAAGCAAGGGUGAGUACACAUCAACGUACUCAGCAAAUGUUCCGUUUGGUUGUAGUGGACUAGCUUUAUGUGGGGUUAGGCUCAAGCAGUUGCUUUUAGUUGGUCAGGUAUUUAUUGUUAGUAGAAGCCAGAUUUUAUCAUAAAACCCAAGUUAUAAUCCCAAAAGUACCUCCUGAGAGAGGGAAUACUAGAAUUCAUAAUUAAAGUCACCAUCAUUAACCAUCAUCAUUAAAGUCAUCAUCCAAGGUGUAUCCGGAGUAUCUCUAAUCAAAGAGGAUCCCAAGGCUGCUCUUAACCGUGAGCACGGCUGAUAUAUCAGUUUCACUACCCUCUGCAGAGGUCGCACACUUUACCCAUGAGUCAUGAUUCCCUUUCUGCCCGAGGAGAGCUAAUCCCCGUUGAUCACUCCCUAGGUGGUCUGGCAGGGUAUCACUACGUAGCUGUUACAAAGAUUCCCUAGAGGUCAUAGCCGCCCGUUAGGUUUCUCCAGUUUGAUAAACACAGUACCCCUCCCCGCAGGAGAGUGACUAACCAAAAAGCAAAACAAAAGAACCUCGGCACUCAGCCUCGGCAGAGCAAGCACUGUGCCUGGACCCCAUUGACGGCACGACGGCGAAGCAACUACACCUCUAGUUCCUCUAAUUAAUUAGCUAAGGGCAUCCCAUUUCACCCUCAUGGUUGCACUGUUAUCCCGGGUGGUCUCUCAACGAACAGGUCCUUACGGAGAGGUGCUCGGGAAACGGCCCGAGUCCCCUAAAAUGCCACAAGUAUAUCACCAUCGUAUCCAAAAUAAAAGCAUCGUAUCAUCAAGUAAUUCUCAUCAUGUUCGUUGAUUAGAGUAAAGCGCUAGCAUGUAGUUAACCAUAGUAAUCCGAAAGGUAAAGAAGGAUAAGGUAAAUAGAAAGCUAGUAAAUCCUUAGGUUAUUCAUAGUAUGCGGUACAGUGUAUUAUAAAGUACAUGGGACAUAAUGGGACUGAGGACACUUGCCUUCACCAAACAGAUGCUCAGAAUCUUCAGCCUUGUAGAACUCGAAGAGCUGGGUCAUUUGGUCGCCGAAGCUUGACCGUCGAUUCCUCAAAGCUCAGAAACGAAUCGCGAUCUAAUCGCAACACGAAGCGAAGACGAACAGGCACAAGCAAACAAACAUAUACAUAUGCAUAAGAAUAUUACACCAUACAAGAUAAAAUGUUAUAAAAGCGAGCAAUAUAAAAUAGAGAGCGCUUCUACGGUUACGCGAGAAUAUGAAACACGUCGGUCGGAGCUACGGUCGAUAAGUUAUCGCGUUUAUGCUAAACGAAUAUGAACUAGGACAUUUAAUUCGGCACUAUCAAAUAUAAAUUAUAUCUACUAUUUAGUUUUGACUAACUUACUAUUUUAAUAGUGGAGGAUUAAACGAAUAUUUAAUUAAAUGACAUGAGUGAUUAUAAGCGACCGAUUUAAUAUCGCGCGUGGACAGCACCCGAUAUGCAAAAAAGGCAAUGCGUGCGAAUGACGCGUGAAGACGCGUGACAAU